Molecule: ribosomal RNA, 298 nt
Filed under: Babesia microti
Lineage: Eukaryota; Apicomplexa; Aconoidasida; Piroplasmida; Babesiidae
Description: partial large subunit ribosomal RNA LSU1
Rfam family: Bacterial large subunit ribosomal RNA
Source: RNAcentral
GAAUCAUCUUCUAAGUGACUAAGAAGCGUCUGUUUAUACAAACACAAGAUACUGCUAACAUAGAUAUCUAUGUAUAGUCUCUGGUAUCUGUUCAGUGGUAUGUACCAAACAACGAUUGUAAGAUCACAAUGUACCUACUAGAUGACUAAUUAUCAUCUAAUGCAAUGAUAGUACGACUUCUUCAUUGUCUCUACUAUGUAGUCUACUAAAUAGAAGUAGUCUUGAAUAUGAGGCUAAAUGUAAUGUGACGGAUAGUCCCUAUGCACCUUAGCCAUCAUCUAUUCAUAACUAUAUUGAA